This 497-nucleotide ribosomal RNA is filed under the name uncultured bacterium. Its description in RNAcentral is "partial 16S ribosomal RNA". It matches the Rfam family "Bacterial small subunit ribosomal RNA", at positions 28 to 507 of the family's 1533-position model. The record is from RNAcentral.
GAUGAACGCUGGCGGCGUGCCUAAUACAUGCAAGUCGAGCGAACAGACGAGGAGCUUGCUCCUCUGACGUUAGCGGCGGACGGGUGAGUAACACGUGGAUAACCUACCUAUAAGACUGGGAUAACUUCGGGAAACCGGAGCUAAUACCGGAUAAUAUAUUGAACCGCAUGGUUCAAUAGUGAAAGACGGUUUUGCUGUCACUUAUAGAUGGAUCCGCGCCGCAUUAGCUAGUUGGUAAGGUAACAGCUUACCAAGGCAACGAUGCGUAGCCGACCUGAGCGGGUGAUCGCCCACACUGGAACGUAGACACGGUCCAGACUCCUACGGGAGGGAGCAGUAGGGAAUCGUCCGCAGUGGGGGAAAGCCUGACGGAGCAACGCCGCGUGAGUGAUGAAGGUCUUCGGAUCGUAAAACUCUGUUAUUGGGGAAGAACAAAUGUGUAAGUAACUAUGCACGUCUUGACGGUACCUAAUCAGAAAGCCACGGCUAACUACGUG